CCUAAUCUAUAAACCAAUUCAAUGCCGAAAAAUCCUCACGUUUAUACAAAAUAAUAGUAUCAUCUCAUUUCUAUCUCUACUUAAUCAAUAAACCUCUCGAUCUUUUGCAUUGCUCUACUUAAUCGAUCAAUAAACCUCUCUUUCGCAAAUCCUAUCUUGUUUGAGAAAAUUAAUUUUUCAUAUUAUUUUUGGAGCCAGAGCUUAAUCAGAAAAUUGUUGUUAAACCAUGUCUGCCACAAGAUUAUUCGUAUCGCAUAGCUCAAGUAGUCUGAUCUCAUUGGCAGCUCAUCCGAGAUUUAGACCCUCUUUACUUGAUCAAAACAGGAUUAGUUUAAGUUCAUCAGCUUCUUCAUCCAAUUUUAAGCAACUUUUAACUUGUGAUUAUUUAUCAUUUUCAGACGACAUCAACAGCAUACCUCAAAGGAAAACUCUCAAGUACGUACGUGCAUAUAUCUAUCUCCCCAAUUUUGCAUGCAUACGCAUCACAAGUCUCUUUUUAUCUUUAUGAAUUUGAUUUUGCUAGCUAGUACUACUGAAUUAAUUCUAACGUUACGAUUCAAUACAUGUAGGAAUUUUGUUGUCUACAACAGUAUUCAACCUGGAAUUCCAAUUCCAUCUNNNNNNNNNNNNNNNNNNN
This 637-nucleotide long non-coding RNA is filed under the name Panax ginseng (ginseng). Its description in RNAcentral is "long non-coding RNA (PGIN_LNC017098)". The record is from RNAcentral. Lineage: Eukaryota; Viridiplantae; Streptophyta; Magnoliopsida; Apiales; Araliaceae.